GAUGAACGCUGGCGGCGUGCCUAAUACAUGCAAGUCGAGCGAACAGACGAGGAGCUUGUGCCUCUGACGUUAGCGGCGGACGGGUGAGUAACACGUGUAUAACCUACCUAUCAGACUGGGAUAACUUCGGGAAACCGGAGCUAAUACCGGAUAAUAUAUUGAACCGCAUGGUUCAAUAGUGAAAGACGGUUUUGCUGUCACGUAUAGAUGGAUCCGCGCCGCAUUAGCUAGUUGGUAAGGUAACGGCUUACCAAGGCAACGAUGCGUAGCCGAGCUGAGAGGGUGAUCGGCCACACUGGAACUGAGACACGGUCCAGACUCCUACGGGAGGCAGCAGUAGGGAAUCUUCCGCAAUGGGCGAAAGCUUGACGGAGCAACGCCGCGUGAGUGAUGAAGGUCUUCGGAUCGUAAAACUCUGUUAUUAGGGAAGAACAAAUGUGUAAGUAACUAUGCACGUCUUGACGGUACCUAAUCAGAAAGCCACGGCUAACUACGUG
This 497-nucleotide ribosomal RNA is filed under the name uncultured bacterium. RNAcentral's name for it is "partial 16S ribosomal RNA". It matches the Rfam family "Bacterial small subunit ribosomal RNA", at positions 28 to 507 of the family's 1533-position model. The record is from RNAcentral.